This 252-nucleotide ribosomal RNA is filed under the name Hepatozoon felis. RNAcentral describes it as "partial small subunit ribosomal RNA". It matches the Rfam family "Eukaryotic small subunit ribosomal RNA", at positions 567 to 817 of the family's 1831-position model. Lineage: Eukaryota; Apicomplexa; Hepatozoidae. The record is from RNAcentral.
CCAGCAGCCGCGGUAAUUCCAGCUCCAAUAGCGUAUAUUAAAAUUGUUGCAGUUAAAAAGCUCGUAGUUGAAUUUCUGCUAAAAAUAACCGGUCUGCUUUUAAUAAAGGUGGUAUCUUGGUGUGUUUUUAGCAAUAAUGUCCUUUGAAAUGUUUUUUACUUCAUUGUAAUAAAUUAUAUUCAGGAUUUUUACUUUGAGAAAAUUAGAGUGUUUCUAGCAGGCUAAUGCUUUGAAUACUGCAGCAUGAAAAAA